UAUGCAGGGAAGUUCUACCCAUUCUACAAU
This 30-nucleotide non-coding RNA is filed under the name Rattus norvegicus (Norway rat). The record is from RNAcentral. Lineage: Eukaryota; Metazoa; Chordata; Mammalia; Rodentia; Muridae.